RNAcentral lists this transfer RNA (69 nucleotides) under Marmota monax (woodchuck). Its description in RNAcentral is "tRNA.Ala". Lineage: Eukaryota; Metazoa; Chordata; Mammalia; Rodentia; Sciuridae. The record is from RNAcentral.
GGGGGUAGCUCAGUGGUAGAGCACUCACCUUGCACAUGCAAGGCCCUGGGUUCAAUCCUCAGCACCACA